Non-coding RNA from Schistosoma mansoni, 45 nucleotides. The record is from Rfam. NCBI's taxonomy places the organism in Eukaryota, Metazoa, Platyhelminthes, Trematoda, Strigeidida, Schistosomatidae.
AUCUAACUGAUGAGUUCAAAAUAAGACGAAACGCGCGUCCUUGAU